Molecule: transfer RNA, 82 nt
Filed under: Trichonephila inaurata madagascariensis
Lineage: Eukaryota; Metazoa; Arthropoda; Arachnida; Araneae; Nephilidae
Rfam family: tRNA
About the family: Transfer RNA (tRNA) molecules are approximately 80 nucleotides in length. Their secondary structure includes four short double-helical elements and three loops (D, anti-codon, and T loops).
Source: Rfam by way of RNAcentral
GACGAGGUGGCCGAGUGGUUUAGGCGGUGGACUGCUAAUUCAUUGUGCUAUGCCCUCGUGGGUUCGAAUCCCAUACUUGUCG